CCUACGGGGGGCAGCAGUGAGGAAUAUUGGUCAAUGGUCGGGAGACUGAACCAGCCAAGCCGCGUGAGGGAUGAAGGUACAGAGUAUCGUAAACCUCUUUUGUCAGGGAACAAAGGCGGGGACGUGUCCCCGGAGGAGUGUACCUGAAGAAAAAGCAUCGGCUAACUCCGUGCCAGCAGCCGCGGUAAUACUGAGGAUGCGAGCGUUAUCCGGAUUUAUUGGGUUUAAAGGGUGCGCAGGCGGUCUGUUAAGUCAGCGGUCAAAGCCCGGGGCUCAACCCCGGCCCGCCGUUGAAACUGGCAGUCUCGAGUUGGAGAGAAGUAUGCGGAAUGCGCGGUGUAGCGGUGAAAUGCAUAGAUAUCGCGCAGAACUCCGAUUGCGAAGGCAGCAUGCCGGCUCCACACUGACGCUGAGGCACGAAAGCGUGGGUAUCGAACAGGAUUAGAUACCCCAGUAGUC
This 459-nucleotide ribosomal RNA is filed under the name uncultured bacterium. RNAcentral describes it as "partial 16S ribosomal RNA". It matches the Rfam family "Bacterial small subunit ribosomal RNA", at positions 338 to 795 of the family's 1533-position model. The record is from RNAcentral.